UGAACGCUGGCGGAAUGCUUUACACAUGCAAGUCGACCGGCAGCACGGGGGCAGCCCUGGUGGCGAGUGGCGAACGGGUGAGUAAUACAUCGGAGCGUGCCCGGUCGUGGGGGAUAACGUAGCGAAAGUUACGCUAAUACCGCAUACGAUCUGAGGAUGAAAGCGGGGGACCUUCGGGCCUCGCGCGAUCGGAGCGGCCGAUGUCAGAUUAGGUAGUUGGUGGGGUAAAGGCCUACCAAGCCGACGAUCUGUAGCUGGUCUGAGAGGACGACCAGCCACACUGGGACUGAGACACGGCCCAGACUCCUACGGGAGGCAGCAGUGGGGAAUUUUGGACAAUGGGCGCAAGCCUGAUCCAGCCAUUCCGCGUGCAGGACGAAGGCCUUCGGGUUGUAAACUGCUUUUGUACGGAACGAAAAGGCUCUGGCUAAUACCUGGGGCUCAUGACGGUACCGGAAGAAUAAGCACCGGCUAACUACGUG
Molecule: ribosomal RNA, 482 nt
Filed under: uncultured bacterium
Lineage: Bacteria
Description: partial 16S ribosomal RNA
Rfam family: Bacterial small subunit ribosomal RNA
Source: RNAcentral